GAUGAACGCUGGCGGCGUGCCUAAUACAUGCAAGUCGAGCGAAUGGAUUAAGAGCUUGCUCUUAUGAAGUUAGCGGCGGACGGGUGAGUAACGCGUGGGUAACCUGCCCAUAAGACUGGGAUAACUCCGGGAAACCGGGGCUAAUACCGGAUAACAUUUUGAACCGCAUGGUUCGAAAUUGAAAGGCGGCUUCGGCUGUCACUUAUGGAUGGACCCGCGUCGCAUUAGCUAGUUGGUGAGGUAACGGCUCACCAAGGCAACGAUGCGUAGCCGACCUGAGAGGGUGAUCGGCCACACUGGGACUGAGACACGGCCCAGACGCCUACGGGAGGCAGCAGUAGGGAAUCUUCCGCAAUGGACGAAAGUCUGACGGAGCAACGCCGCGUGAGUGACGAAGGCUUUCGGGUCGUAAAACUCUGUUGUUAGGGAAGAACAAGUGCUAGUUGAAUAAGCUGACACCUUGACGGUACCUAACCAGAAAGCCACGGCUAACUACGUGCCAGCCGCCGCUGUAA
Molecule: ribosomal RNA, 515 nt
Filed under: uncultured bacterium
Lineage: Bacteria
Description: partial 16S ribosomal RNA
Rfam family: Bacterial small subunit ribosomal RNA
Source: RNAcentral